UCGAGUCAGAGGAGCCUGAGCGGUCCAGAAACGACGGACUGAUGAAGUCAGCCUCGAGGCCGGCCACCAGGACCACACCUAACUGCUCACUGGCCGCUCGCGGCCUGGCCGCUGGCGUCCAGCCCCGGCGGGGAGCAUAUCAAGAAAAAGCAAAGCUCCGCUGUCUCUGAUGCUUCGAAGACCAGCACAGUGCCUGGCACACAGUGGACGCUCGUCCAAUCUGUGAUGGAGUGAGCCGAUGCAGGGAUGGAUGCAUAAAUUAACGGGAGCGAGUGCAGAAUAAAUCUCCAAGAAAGACAUCCACGGACCGCACAGCCGGGCGACGGGCGAGGUUCCAUCCACACUCAGGCUCCACACGAAAUUCAAAUUCUCAUUAGAGUGCAGCAUGAAACACAGCCCGCGCUCGUAACCGCGGCCCUGAGAACGGCGACGGUGGGGGGACCUUUAAUGCCUUCUUCCUAUUGAUUACAGCCCCGAAAAGAAAAAGGAAUGAAAAGAGUGGCUUCAAACGCUUCCCUGUGAAAGGCUAAAAGGAAGCAAAUGCAGCGUGGGACAGCGAGGCCCGAGGGGCUUUCAGUCGCACCACGGCCACCGACUCCGCGCUGGCCGCGCGCCCCAGGACCCGCCGCCGUGCCAACAGACAUUCUGAGUCACCCAAGCAGAUUUAAUGCCAUCGCCACAAUGACUCUCGGCCCUUUCUUCUCAAAACGGCUACAGGGAAGAUUCCGACCUACCUAGGAAAGGAUUUUAAUCAGUUUUGUUCCGGAAAUAACUAUGGAAAUUCGGAUGUUUCCAUUCUGUUGCUUCUGAACAUUAUAUUCUAACAAAUGGCUGAUGAAGCCACUCCCCCCGCCCUUUCCUUUUUUUUUUCCCCAGCCCGUCGGGAGAAAUGACAUGAUUGGCAGCCGUUCUGAAUCCCACAUGGAAAGGUCUGAGUGAAUAAGCAUAUGAAAAGCCAACCAAAAAAAUGAGGCUUUUGAAAAUAAGAAAAACACCAAAAUUGCCCAUCACUCUUCAGGCAGCCUACACUAACCCCCAGGAAGAGUCCUCCCCCCACGGCAUCCAUCUCAGCCCUGCGGGCAGCCCCGGCGAGGCCGCGUGUGCGGGAAGCCUCGGCAAGGUUGUGCGUGCGGUGACCCACAGCAAUGUCCGUAGCUUUCAGACAAGCCUGGGGAGUGCACGGCGCACCAGAGGCGUGAUCCUUAAGACACGCGGAGCCGCAGGGGAGUUAAGACCUGGGGCAGCAUGAACUGAGCCAUACGAAGGGCCGGCGGGCGUUUGGAAGCCCUCACUCAUCCUUUUAUCUCCUCGUUCGACAGUAUUUACUGGCACACAUGCUCUUUGACCUCGGCCAGGACCCCUUAAUGGAAGUGAAGGAAUCAUUUUCAGGGUGAGAAAACUGAGGUUCAUGGAAGAAAUAUUGCCGGCAUCUCUGAGCUACUGAGAAGCAGAAUUGAAUCUGUUGCCCCAUUUUUUCAUGUGCUUUCUGGGGCCUUUUCACCUAAAUGUUGUAAACAUUACAUUGAAAGUUAAAACCUCCAGAGAGCACUUAAAACGUGGACUGAAGCUGACUCUGUGUGUGCCUUUUGCCUCUCAUGUGAACUGCUCGUGGGCCAAGCUGGCGUAAAUGAAAUGUAUUCAGGCGCGAUGAGAAUCUCGGUGUGACUCCUGCACAGGUAUUGACAGUAUGUCUUGCCUUUGCCUGUCAGCUCACACCCUUCUGCAGAGUUGAGGGCAAGAAAAGGGAAGCUGGGGGGCUCUGGGGACCCCCCUAGGAUGUACCCCCAGCCCUGUAAUGGUCGAAGGGCCCUCCUUAGAACAGAUCAUUGGAAAGCAAUGAAUAGAGUCCAGAAUUCUUCUGUGGAACCAUUGGCUUACCCGAAACCAGGGCCCCUCAGUGCCGGCUCUCCUGACGCCUGGAGCCCAGUCAUUCUUUGCUGGGGGCUGUCUGUGCGGGGCAGGAUGCUCACAGCACCCCUGCCUCCUCCCACCAGAUGCUGGUAGCAUCCCCACCCCCAGGGGAGACACAAGUGUCCCCGGACACUGCCAGGUGUCCCCUGGGGGACAGGACCAGCCCAGGUUGGGAACCGCUGUCUGAGGCAGGUGGGAGUCACUCUUUCAGUCCCUGCCCACAGGCAGGCAAUCUCUGGCCAUAUUUCUCUGAAAUGCAUUGUUUCUUGCAAAGAAAAUGCAGCCUGUGCCCAGAGGCCAUUGGGCACACUGGCUCUGUAGCGACCAGAGCCACGCAGUGUGUGCCCCGGGCGUCCCGAGAAACAUUUUGCAGGGACCAUGGAAUCUGACCAUCACAGGAACCCUGUGAGGCAGGUACUCUCAUCACCCGACUUCACAGACAAGCAAGCUGAGGUUUCCCAAAGACUCUCCAGGACCUUAGUACUCAGGGUUCUUUCAGCCUCACACUCAGCUGCCCCCUCUUCUGGCAGAUGCCCCCGCCUUCUAGAAGGCGGAUCUGAACGCCAGACACGGCCAGACCAUGCUAGACAUGACGUUGGAAGCCGUGUCCGUGACACACGCUAGUUGGUUCCUAACCACGUACGCGGGGGUGGGUGAGGGCUUAGGAGGCGGCAGGAGGGAAGUGAACUCUUGGAAUGUUACAGAAGAGCCAGGCCAUUAUCAGCCAGCCAGAAAGCAAAAAAUUGCUGCAAAUGCAAACUGCCUACACCAAGCAACUUAAUUUCCCACAGACCUUACCCCAACGAGCAUCGUUCCGUGUUGAAUGUCUCUGGUAUCAAGAUCUGAGGAUCCCAGCAGGCAGUGCGUGUAUGCACACCAUCAAGGGUGUGAAGGAGGUUUUCUCGAGGGCUCCGAGGCCCGGGCAAAGGGAAGUGAAGUGUUUUGUAAUACUGGGUCGAUAUUUUCAUAUAUUUUGUCCCCCACUGAAACCAGUGCUCUGGAGACAUGAGAUCUCUGCAGUUUGUUAUCCACAGGGGCACCCUGGAGCGUAAGACUGAAGCCCAGUACCGCCAGGAGGGAACCUUGGGGACCUCCCCAUGCUAAUCAGCCGUCCCGUUGCCGCAUUCAGUGCGGACUCACAUGUGUCCCCACGCUCUGAGAUGCUAGGCUGGGCUAGUGGGACAGUCUCCUGGAUGCAUGACCGACAGUCGGUGGUCUCACAGGGGGAGCCCAGUAGAGGCAGGAUUCCCACAUUCCUAAUAAACUGGGUCACCUCCCUAAGCUGCUGCCUCCUGGGGAGACCCCGAGAAAAGGCCAGACGUGGGUGUUUAAAAAUUUCUUGCUACUCUGUCAGCCAUCCGGACACAAAUGUUCACGGGGCCUCAUUCCAGUUAGCGACCAUUCUGUCAGAAGAACGGAAGUCCACUGUCCGGCAAAUAAUUUUCUUUUUUAUGCCCAGAGGAUUUUUCACAUCUGGCAUUUUCAGCGGCGUUCUUUUUCUUCUUCACUUGCAGGGAACCCAGAAGUUGCUUAGACACUGAACCAAGUGGAAAGCAUUGAUCACUGACUUGCUGACAGUGGGCCGUCAUCGGGGUGCCUCGCGGUGGUCCCGCCGCCCACGUCAGAUGGGAGGUAGGGGAGCAGAAAAGUCCCCGUCGGGUGGGGCGCGGGCUCCAGGUGGGGCGGUCGCAGCGCUGACUGGCGCUUCCCUGCCCGGCCCGGGGCCUUGUGCAGCUGCAGCUCCGGGGGCCCCACUGCAGGCUGCACCGCCCAGCACCGUUUGCCCCCGGGACGGAAGGCACAGCCAGAGAUCAAAGGAAAGGCUUUUGAGUCGUGUCCUCGACCCCCGGGGAGGGGACUGAAGGGCAUUUCUAGGAGCAGCAGAGAGAGCUGAGUCACAGAGCAGCCCAGAGGUGCAGCCUGCAGCGGGAGACCCACAGAGGCCUGAGGCCCUGGACCCUGAGCCCUUGGGGGAGGCGGAAAGUCGACAUGGCGCGUCUAGCUUCGGUCCAGUGCUUGCCCUCCACACCUCAGUGCAGGGGCAAGCGGCUGGUGAUCCUCGUGGGCUUCAGAGUAGCAGGAAAGCAGAAAAGGGCCAGGGGCAGCCCACCGACUCCCUGAGCAGGCCGCGGUCCAGCGUGGGGCCAAACAGGAGAAAGAGGCCCUGAACAGGGGUGACGGGGACUGGCAGCAGCACCAGGCGGGCAGUGGACGUCCCGGGAGAUGCUGGCGGGGGUGUCAGGGAGAGGAGAGUGGGCAUCUCUGAACUGAGAUGGAGCCUCAAGACAGAAGUUAAGUUCAAUUAUUUUGAGGGGGAGGUAGUUAGGGCUUUUUGUUUAUUAUUGUAUUUAUUUUAAUGGAGGGACUGGGGAUUGAACCCAGGACCUCAUGGCGGCUAAGCACACGCUCUACCACUGAGCUAUCCCCUCCACGCCUGAAUUACUUUUUGUUCCACCUACUGCACGACUGAGCUCACUGACGAAAUCCGCGCCCCUUUCUGCAUCAGCUCCUCGGUGAGCAUGUCUCCGUCUGAACCUGGGCCACUAGAAAGCUCAGAGCAAACGCACAAUCCUUUCCGCUGUCAGGAACGUGUACUUGGGUCACAAUUUCCUGAUUUCACUUUGUCAUUCUGCUUGUAUUUCUCCUCGGUGUCCUCACCUAUGCUCAAACCAUUGUGCCAUCUUUCACAUUAUGAUUGUCUGACCUGAAUACUAUUUGGAACAAGACAAGGUAUACAUGCACCUGAGACCAUG
Molecule: non-coding RNA, 4664 nt
Organism: Vicugna pacos (alpaca)
Lineage: Eukaryota; Metazoa; Chordata; Mammalia; Artiodactyla; Camelidae
Source: RefSeq, a predicted model, not a curated record